RNAcentral lists this ribosomal RNA (711 nucleotides) under uncultured bacterium. RNAcentral describes it as "bacterial SSU rRNA". It matches the Rfam family "Bacterial small subunit ribosomal RNA", at positions 1 to 727 of the family's 1533-position model. The record is from RNAcentral.
UCCUGAGAGUUUGAUCCUGGCUCAGGACGAACGCUGGCGGCGUGCUUAACACAUGCAAGUCGAACGAUGAACCUGGAGCUUGCUCCAGGGGAUUAGUGGCGAACGGGUGAGUAACACGUGAGUAACCUGCCCUUGACUCUGGGAUAACCUCCGGAAACGGAAGCUAAUACCGGAUAUGACGCACGGAGGCAUCUCCUGUGCGUGGAAAGAACUUCGGUCAAGGAUGGACUCGCGGCCUAUCAGGUAGUUGGUGAGGUAACGGCUCACCAAGCCUACGACGGGUAGCCGGCCUGAGAGGGUGACCGGCCACACUGGGACUGAGACACGGCCCAGACUCCUACGGGAGGCAGCAGUGGGGAAUAUUGCACAAUGGGCGCAAGCCUGAUGCAGCAACGCCGCGUGAGGGAUGACGGCCUUCGGGUUGUAAACCUCUUUUAGUAGGGAAGAAGCGAAAGUGACGGUACCUGCAGAAAAAGCACCGGCUAACUACGUGCCAGCAGCCGCGGAAUACGUAGGGUGCGAGCGUUGUCCGGAAUUAUUGGGCGUAAAGAGCUCGUAGGCGGUCUGUCGCGUCUGCUGUGAAAACCCGAGGCUCAACCUCGGGCCUGCAGUGGGUACGGGCAGACUAGAGUGCGGUAGGGAGAAUGGAAUUCCUGGUGUAGCGGUGGAAUGCGCAGAUAUCAGGAGGAACACCGAUGGCGAAGGCAGUCC